GAUGAACGCUGGCGGCGUGCCUAAUACAUGCAAGUCGAGCGGACGGACGAGAAGCUUGCUUCGCUGCUGUUAGCGGCGGACGGGUGAGUAAAACGUGGAUAACCUACCUAAAAGACUGGGAUAACUUCGGGAAACCGGCGCUAAUACCGGAUAAUAUUUUGAACCACAUGGGUCAAGAGAGAAAGCCGGUCUUGCUGUCAGUUAUCGAUGGAUCCGCGCUGCAUUAGCUGGUUGGUAAGGUAAAGGCUUACGAAGGCAACGAUGCAUAGCCGACCUGAGAGCGUGAUCGGCCACAUGGGAACUGAGACACGGUCCAGACUCCUGCGGGAGGCCGCAGGAGGGAAUCUUGCGCAAUGGGCGAAAGCCUGACGGAGAGACGGCGCGUGCGUGACGGCGUGGUGGGGAUCGUAAAGCGGGGUUUUUAGUGAAGAACAGAUGUCGAAGGAACUGUGUAGAGCGUGACGGUAACUAAUCAAAAAGCAACGGCUAACUACGUG
RNAcentral lists this ribosomal RNA (497 nucleotides) under uncultured bacterium. Its description in RNAcentral is "partial 16S ribosomal RNA". It matches the Rfam family "Bacterial small subunit ribosomal RNA", at positions 28 to 507 of the family's 1533-position model. The record is from RNAcentral.